GGCGGGUCUCCCCGCAUGGUAAUUCGGAACACCGGGUCAGGGCGGAAGCCAGCAGCCCACUCUGAUGAGCCAGUGCCGGGGUUCGGCUCGCCACC
This 95-nucleotide signal recognition particle RNA is filed under the name Neisseria subflava. RNAcentral describes it as "signal recognition particle sRNA small type". It matches the Rfam family "Bacterial small signal recognition particle RNA". From Rfam's summary of the family: The signal recognition particle (SRP) is a universally conserved ribonucleoprotein involved in the co-translational targeting of proteins to membranes. Archaeal SRP consists of a 7S RNA and homologues of the eukaryotic SRP19 and SRP54 proteins. Lineage: Bacteria; Pseudomonadati; Pseudomonadota; Betaproteobacteria; Neisseriales; Neisseriaceae. The record is from RNAcentral.